Small nucleolar RNA from Betta splendens (Siamese fighting fish), 131 nucleotides. Ensembl annotates it as small nucleolar RNA SNORA44. NCBI's taxonomy places the organism in Eukaryota, Metazoa, Chordata, Actinopteri, Anabantiformes, Osphronemidae. The record is from Ensembl.
AAGCAUGCUAUUCAAAGGACCUAGGCUUAUGUGUACCUUGGGUUCUUGAAGCUCAUGCAAGAAAAUGGGGUGGUCUUUGACUGCUGUGGUCUGUUUUGUGCCAUUGGCAGCCACUCAACUGCCCUACAUGG